This 1895-nucleotide long non-coding RNA is filed under the name Lactuca sativa (garden lettuce). Its description in RNAcentral is "long non-coding RNA (LSAT_LNC007990)". The record is from RNAcentral. Lineage: Eukaryota; Viridiplantae; Streptophyta; Magnoliopsida; Asterales; Asteraceae.
CAAACCUAUUAAUAUAUUAUUGUUUUAUUAUAACCAAAAGACAUUAUGACAGCAGUUUGGUUUGAUUGAGCACUUACUGUGAUUGGAUGUAACUAUUUUAUUUGGGGAAAGAAUAAUAUAAUAUUUAGGUCAUUGCAAUCUACAGCAGUUUAUGACAUCAAUGUUUUACAUUGAUAAGCUGGUUAUGGAGUUAUUAGUAUGUUACAAAGAAAAUGUUUUCCAAACAAUAAAGACAUCAGAAUGUUUUUGUAGAAGUCACCUCCACUAUAUACGGAUCCUGCAACAAAUAUUAACAUGGGCAUGCGUCAGAAUAUUCUCACUUUCAUUUUCCGCAAUAUAAACAAUCCAUUGAAAAACAAACUUUCAAUUUCCAUAAUCUAAAAACUUCAUUGAAAAACAAACCACCGUCAUACUUGUUGGCGUGACUACGUGCAUCUUAGUAAGCGUUAGAUGCCUAAGACCAUGCUCCACACCAGGGGACAAUUUCAUUUCAUCAAAAACAAAAAUUCAAAAAGGGUAUAGAAUAGGAUAUACUCACUGUAGGCCUUGUUUACAAAACAGAAUAAUUGAAAAGAUAUGUAAUUUAUUCCAGCUAGGAAAGACGGGGACUUCUAAAAGACCAAGUAAUUCACACUUAUCAUACUGAUCAAGCUUGAGUAUCUUUAUAAAAAUAUCAACAAACAAACUUUCACAAUAAAUUAAGAGUACAAUUUAGUAUUUAGUGAAUGUAAACCCUCAGAGUUUCUAGACUUAAUAUAAUUUGAGUACACUGUAAAGGAGUUCUAAGUUCUAACAUAAAGAUCCACAUGUCAAGCAGGAGAUAUAACAAUGUCAAGCCUGUCAAGCAAGAGAUAUAACAAUGAAUGGACUAUGCAGCACAUUACGUCUAUUGUAUGGGGAGGAUUGAACACUGAUGAAAAUAUAGUUGAACAUGUUAUGGUUUACAUUAAAAUAUACAUGUUUUCACCUGAAAUAAUACGGUUUCCAGAUAUGCUAUAAAUCCCUAAACAAAAACCAAAAUCAAUGAUGAAAAAAGAGAUGAAAUUGAGGAUGCAGAAAACGAUUUUUUUUCAAGAUUUCACUGAAAGAUCUGGAAAAAGAAAUUGCUUGAAAGAUCUGGAAAAACCCUUCUUUCCCGAUCUUGUUAAUCUUCAUCCAGAUCCAAACUCAAAAAUCAAAAAUGAAAAACAACACAGAUUAGCAAACCAACUUCUAACAUUGAUUUAAAAAAAUUAAGGGAUUUUUACCUGUGUGGGUCUCAAAGAACAAAAGAAAAUUGAGUUUUGUUCCUUGUUAGGUACGUGGAUCUGAAAGAACAAAAGAACAAUCAUGUAAUAUAAGAUUCAAGCUUUUUAUCAAGACCCUAAGCGAACAGUCAGUGAGAGAGAGAGAGAGAGAGAGAGAGAGAGAGAGAGAAAGAGAGAGAGACGUUACUCAUUAGCCGGGUUUUGUUCCUGUUCACGAACAUUUGAAGACCUUGGGCUUAGUUACCCGCUUGAUCUGAUGACUCCCGAUGCCUGUAGCCGCCAGACCCACCGCGUCAAUGUUGGUGGUGGAGGUGACAAUCAAGGUUCUUCGAGUGAGAACCGAUAGAUUUUUCACGAAGCGUGUGAGAAGUUUUGAAGGGAUGGUGUGGAAGGGAGAGCACAGGAGAAGGCGCUUUCAAGCGAACUGAUGAAUUUCUUUAGAGAGAGAGAACGUGAGUCGGGGAACAGGGAGUACGGUAGAAAGUGGAACAAAGUCUACAGGCUACAGUGUAAAUGCAUUGUAGUAGUGUGAUGUGCUCUUAUCUAUAGUGUUUAACAUUUCCACAAAUGUUAAUGUUUACAAUUUCUUUUACAUUAACUUUGAAGAAUUUUUUUUUUUGGAUAAUCAAUUUAGGAUGAAUGUACGGC